Molecule: ribosomal RNA, 1040 nt
Filed under: uncultured archaeon
Lineage: Archaea
Description: bacterial SSU rRNA
Rfam family: Archaeal small subunit ribosomal RNA
Source: RNAcentral
CCUACGGGGUGCAGCAGGCGCGAAACCUCCGCAAUGCGGGCAACCGCGACGGGGGGACCCCGAGUGCCGUCGGGGCAAAGCUCCGGCGGCUGUACCGGGGUGUAAAAAGCCCCGGGUAGAAAGCGGCGGGCAAGACCGCUGCCAGCCGCCGCGGUAAUAGCGGCGCCGCAAGUGGUGGCCGCUUUUAUUGGGCCUAAAGGGGCCGUAGCCGGUCCCGUGGGUCCCCGCCGAAAGCCCGCGGCUUAACCGCGGGAGUCGGCGGGGAAACUGCGGGACUUGGGACCGGGAGAGGCCGGAGGUACCCCCGGAGUAGGGGUGAAAUCCUGUCAUCCCGGGGGGACCGCCAGUGGCGAAGGCGUCCGGCUGGAACGGGUCCGACGGUGAGGGCCGAAAGCCGGGGGAGCAAACCGGAUUAGAUACCCGGGUAGUCCCGGCUGUAAACGAGGCGGACUAGGUGUGGGGGCGGCCACGAGCCGCCCCAGUGCCGUAGGGAAGCCGUUAAGUCCGCCGCCUGGGGAGUACGGCCGCAAGGCUGAAACUUAAAGGAAUUGGCGGGGGAGCACCACAACCGGUGGAGCCUGCGGUUUAAUUGGAUUCAACGCCGGAAACCUUACCGGGGGCGACAGCAGGAUGAAGGCCAGGUUGACGACCUUGCCGGACGAGCUGAGAGGAGGUGCAUGGCCGCCGUCAGCUCGUGCCGUGAGGUGUCCUGUUAAGUCAGGUAACGAGCGAGACCCCCACCCGCAGUUGCCAGCGGGCCCCGUAAGGGGUGCCGGGCACUCUGCGGGGAUCGCCGCCGAUAAGGCGGGUGAAAGUGGGGGCGACGGCAGGUCCGUAUGCCCCGAAACCCCCGGGCUACACGCGGGCUACAAUGGCGGGGACAAUGGGAUCCGACCCCGAAAGGGGAAGGAAAUCCCGUAAACCCCGUCGUAGUUCGGAUUGCGGGCUGCAACUCGCCCGCAUGAAGGUGGAAUCGGUAGUAACCGUGCCUCAGAAGGGCACGGUGAAUACGUCCCUGCUCCUUGCACACACCGCCCGUC